This 305-nucleotide ribosomal RNA is filed under the name uncultured bacterium. RNAcentral describes it as "bacterial SSU rRNA". It matches the Rfam family "Bacterial small subunit ribosomal RNA", at positions 333 to 635 of the family's 1533-position model. The record is from RNAcentral.
GUCAGCCUACGGGGGGCAGCAGUGAGGAAUAUUGGUCAAUGGGCGGAAGCCUGAACCAGCCAAGUCGCGUGAGGGAAUAAGGCCCUACGGGUCGUAAACCUCUUUUGCCGGGGAGCAAGGGCCGGGACGAGUCCCGGUCCGGAGAGUACCCGGAGAAAAAGCAUCGGCUAACUCCGUGCCAGCAGCCGCGGUAAUACGGAGGAUGCGAGCGUUAUCCGGAUUUAUUGGGUUUAAAGGGUGCGUAGGCGGGCUUUUGAGUCAGCGGUACAAAUUCGGGGCGCAACCCCGUCCGGCCGUUGCAACUG